This 253-nucleotide ribosomal RNA is filed under the name uncultured microorganism. RNAcentral's name for it is "partial 16S ribosomal RNA". It matches the Rfam family "Bacterial small subunit ribosomal RNA", at positions 524 to 776 of the family's 1533-position model. The record is from RNAcentral.
UACGGAGGGUGCGAGCGUUAAUCGGAAUUACUGGGCGUAAAGCGUGCGCAGGCGGUUUGUUAAGCCAGAUGUGAAAGCCCCGGGCUCAACCUGGGAACCGCAUUUCGAACUGGCAAACUAGAGUCUUGUAGAGGGGGGUAGAAUUCCAGGUGUAGCGGUGAAAUGCGUAGAGAUCUGGAGGAAUACCGGUGGCGAAGGCGGCCCCCUGGGCCUGUACUGACGCUCAUGCACGAAAGCGUGGGGAGCAAACAGG